UUCUAUUAAAAAUAAUUAAUAGUAUAAUCUGCUCAAUGAUAUUAAAUAGCCGCUAUUAUUGUGCUAAGGUAGCAUAAUCAUUUGUCUUUUAAUUGAAGACUAGAACAAAAGAUUAAACAAUUUAAUUAAUAUAUAAAAAUUAAUUAUUUAAAUUUAUUCUAAAUGUUAAAAAACCUUUAUAUAAAAGAAAGACGACAAGACCCUAUUAAACUUAACUUAAGUUCAACUGGGGCAGUUAAUCAAUUAUUAUUUUAAUAUAAAUUUUUAUUAAAAAAUCCAAUAUAAUUGAUUAUAUAACUAAGUUACUAUAGGGAUAACAGCGUAAUAUUAAUCUAAAGAUCUUUAAAUAAAAUGUUUGCGACCUCGAUGUUGAAUUAAUAACCUAAAUUAUUGCAAUAAAUAAAUAAAGGAAGUCCGUUCGACUUUUAAAAAAUUACA
RNAcentral lists this ribosomal RNA (438 nucleotides) under Tomopisthes varius. RNAcentral describes it as "partial 16S ribosomal RNA". The record is from RNAcentral. Lineage: Eukaryota; Metazoa; Arthropoda; Arachnida; Araneae; Anyphaenidae.